GCCGGGUGUGGUGGCACACGCCUGUAAUCCCAGCUACUCAGGAGGCUGAGGCAGGAGAAUCGCUUGAACCCAGGAGGCUGAGGUUGCAGUGAGCCGAGACCACACCACUGCACUCCAGCCUGGGUGACAGAGUGAGACUCUGUCUCAA
Molecule: non-coding RNA, 148 nt
Organism: Homo sapiens (human)
Lineage: Eukaryota; Metazoa; Chordata; Mammalia; Primates; Hominidae
Rfam family: Metazoan signal recognition particle RNA
About the family: The signal recognition particle (SRP) is a universally conserved ribonucleoprotein. It is involved in the co-translational targeting of proteins to membranes.
Source: Rfam